AAUAUUAAGAAGAGAAAAACCAUACAAGAAAACCAAAAAGAAAGAACAUAAUAAAAGCAAUAUUUCACUUUAGGAAUCACUUGUACAUUUCUAUCACUCUUUCCUGUCCUUU
RNAcentral lists this non-coding RNA (112 nucleotides) under uncultured Symbiodinium. Lineage: Eukaryota; Dinophyceae; Suessiales; Symbiodiniaceae. The record is from RNAcentral.